Rhopilema esculentum is the source of this 1509-nucleotide non-coding RNA. The record is from RefSeq and is a predicted model, not a curated record. Lineage: Eukaryota; Metazoa; Cnidaria; Scyphozoa; Rhizostomeae; Rhizostomatidae.
GACAUACAUGCUUAAAUAAUUCACACAGUCCUUGAUAGGGAAACCAAAAUGCAAAGAAAAAUUCGAGAGAUGACUAGAGUCGAAAUCCUUUCGAAUUAAUCGUCUCAGCUGAGUGAAAAAUUUACCUGACACUUUUUCACACAGAUUAUUGCUGUAAUUUGUGAAGGUGACACAAAUAAACUUAAAAGAAGCUUUAAAUUUAUCCUGAAAAUGCAGAAAAACUUUUUCCUAGUGGAUUAUAAAAAGGCAAGUGCUUUUGAACGGGAAAAUAUUUCUGUUUUCCAAAGAAAUUAUCGUUGCAAAGUGAAGGUAGGAAAAAAUCAACUAGAAUUGAAUUCUCUAGAGCCGAUCUGAAUUUCGCCUCGCAGGGAACCGUUCUUAGAAAUCACCUUGACGACAGAUCUAUAUUUAAACCUAAUUUUGUAAAUGUUUUUCUCGACAUCGAAAUAUUAGUAGAUCAUCUACAUCAAUGUGAUUUUAUCUCUAAGUUAGCAGUCAUAGAUAAAAGUGGAAGCUGAAAAUUGUUCUUAAAUUGUCCAAGAAAAGCAAGUAGAUAAUACAUCGAAUCGUAGUUUAUCAUGAAUCAUAGUUUGCAUGACCAUACCUUGAUAACGUGAUGUUUAAACAGCUUAUCAAGCAUAGUCAUGCCGCACAGUACUGGUACCUCGCGUUCCACUGCGCAUUACAAAUGGACAACUCUAGCUGUAGGAGACUGCACAGGAGCCGAAAGUGGUUUGACAAGAUACAGUCUUUGUGUCUAGAGCAUUAUGCAUAUAUUACCAGCUAGCUUCCUAAUAGCUCUUUAAUAUUGCAUCAAACUUGAGAGUUGUACAGUCAGAAACUGUACAGAUGUCAAAUCGAUGUAACGCAUAACAAUUUAUGGAAUGCGGGUGUUUUGAUGUUCUAAAGAAAGGAGAGGGAAGCAGCCACAAUCGAGCCAAAAGCCACGAUCUGCAGGCAAAAUAAAUGCUAAAAAAUUUGCUAUCUCAAAUACAACAGGGAUCAUUAUUAAUAUCUGCAGCUGAUGGAAAAUAGAACUAGUUACCAACCCCUUCUUUUUAAUGGAAAGCUUCUCUGUAAAAAUGUACUAGUAAAGGAUCUUCACGGCUAAGAAACUUUACUAGCGAGGUGUUAAAACUCCCAGAAAUUUUAUAUAUUUUUUGAGCCACUGUAGUGAUUCCAUUCAUUCUAAUUUUUCCUCACCUAUCGCCAUCCAUUUUUACUUUGUUUAUUUUACCUACAGUAAUUUCUUCACAUCACUACCUCAUCACUACACUCUACGAGCAUAUCACUAUGUCAACAUUUCCUCUCUUUUGUUUAGGCCAUCAUCAACCCUGCACAUCUACCUAAAUCUCAAUUCAUAAACUAUUCACACUUAGCCUAGCCCUUCCUAUCCUUUGUUUUCCUUACAUCAUUCGCGUUAAUUUUAGAUAUUCAUUUCUGUAUAUAAGCAUGUUAAUUUUUAUGUAAUUCAGUUCAGUUCAGUUCACAUCAGAGUUACACAGGCAA